CAGAGAGGGAAAAACCCAGCAUACGUGUUGCAACACGGAUUACCCAGAGGAUCUACGCUAUCUUCCAACAACCCCUGAAGACCAUUCAUACAACAAUCAUUAAUACUGAAAAACUGCAGAGAAAAUCCCUCACGUGAGAAGUUAACAACCAUUACCCGGCGUGAGCACGCUUUCCCUUUCCUUUUGUAGUACCACAGGUCUAAACAAUAGUAAUAUGAAUGAGAUAAUAGCCAUGCUUGUCUCAGCAGCCUGAUUUUUAUUAGCAUGAAAUUGGUACAAAUAUUAGCAAAGCUGGUUCGCAAGCGGUGCCAGAGCCACGAUGCAAACAAUUUGCAGAAAACAAAAAGCGACUCGGCGGGCUCGCACCUCUCUCUGUUGCUGCCCAGAACAGCAGCCACGUUUCCUUUUUUUGGAAGGUUUGUUGGUUUGUUCUGGGGUUGUUUUUUUUUUCUUUUUUUUUUUUGCCACUUGUGCAAGCGCGAGGAGAAGCCACAGCACCCGGCGAGCAGCGGGGACGGUGACGCGCAGCUGCUCCCGCUCCGGGGGGACGUCGCAAGGGGACGGGCGCCCCGAAAGAGGACUUGGUCCUCGCCGCUGUUCUCCGAAGCCAUGCCAGAAAACCCACCCUCAUUGUCAACACCGCAGGAAACAACCUGAACCAGCUUCUUUUGCUUUAAACCCAAGCAAUUCCCCUCUCCUGCGCUGCCAAGCUGCCCGCGCGAGGCAGCAAGUUAAAAGUUCAGCCCUGCCUGCACGCUCCUGUCCUCUGAGCGCUCGCAGAGAAAAUGAAGAGUUUAACAGAGUAAGCUCUUACUGUCUGCCUUUAGAUUUCCGUCUUCGCGCUGGAGAUGUGUUUCUGGCUGUUUCUGUGAAGCGGGGGCUGAAGAAUGGUAAAAAGAUGUUUGAAUAAACAGGAAGUGCUGUGCAGCCGGAGCGCAGGCUGGAGGGAGACGGCGCUGGAGCACUGCCCUUCGCCGGCAGCCACCGGGUCUCUGCCUCCACAGUAGCAACCUCUGCUUUUACUAAACGACAAAGAAACCGCAAAGCGUUCCUUCCCUAAUUCUUCCCUCGCCAAGCGGCAAGAUCGGCUGGAGCUCGCAGAGCUUCCAGUACAUUUGCUACACACUGUGAAGAUACAGACUGGCUGCGAUGCGCUUUUUCAAAGGCACGGCUUGGUUUCGCGCACGGCACAAAUUCAGCAGCUCUUCCUCAGGCAAAACUCCUCCUGACCGAUAAUUGCAGCAUUUGGGGUCACUGAGAAUCAGGCUUGCUUUCUAAGAAUCAUGAGCCUUUGAGGGAAGGUGGGGCAAGGAGAGGAGCAGGCACCGCUGGGUUUGCGGAGGAGAUGGAGACGCGGGCUGGGGAGCCCGAGGGGCAUCGCCCUCGAACGAUGCACGUACCAACAACCUGCCCUCCCCGGCCCUGACUUUUGGAAAGCUUCUGGUGACAAAAGACCCGAACUCCAAACCCAGAGGCACCGUCCCUGCAUCCCAACCUGGCAGCGGGACCACCGAGCUCAGCGCCAACACGCUCCUGAUUUUUGGGGAUGGCCUUCGCUGGGAGCUCGCCCUGCCUUCAGGUGACGCACGGUGAACAUCUCGGACCACCCCCGCUCUGCGGCUGUCAUAUAAAUCCAAGCCUUUUGGUAAAGGGUGUUGGGUUUAACUUCCCAAGUCUGUCCUCCUCCCAAGGGGAUGGCAAAAUUCAGAGAACAAAGUACACUCGUCUCCAUCCUCCAAAAUAACACCCUGAAAAAUACUCUAACUUUUAUAACUCAUCCUGUUUGUGAGCAGUAAUUAAAAUACUCUUUUCAUCACAAUAAUAGCUCUGUAAGGCCAAGAUCCAAACUGCUUUUGACUGCACAGCUACCACAAUUAUUUUCGGAAGUAUGGGGUGGAGUUAACUCCAGUAUCUCAGCUAUCACUAUGGUGCAACUGUUGACAAAUGCUGACUUUUCUAAAUGGCAGAUGCUGCGUAUGUACCAUCCACCCUUUAUUUAUUGUGCCCAACAGAGGUUUAUCCUUGCAAAAAGAGAUCUUUCAAUAAAAAUCUGAACACAGUGCUUUGGAACCUGCAUUACAUGUUGCUUAUUUAUCGCUAUCAGUAUGAAAUAGUAUAAGACUUAAAAUGUAGGAUCAAUCAUUAU
Long non-coding RNA from Aquila chrysaetos chrysaetos, 2146 nucleotides. RefSeq lists it as uncharacterized. The transcript has 3 exons. The record is from RefSeq and is a predicted model, not a curated record. Lineage: Eukaryota; Metazoa; Chordata; Aves; Accipitriformes; Accipitridae.